AUUGAACGCUGGCGGCAUGCCUUACACAUGCAAGUCGAACGGCAGCACGGGAGCUUGCUCCUGGUGGCGAGUGGCGAACGGGUGAGUAAUGCAUCGGAACGUGCCCUGAAGUGGGGGAUAACGUAGCGAAAGUUACGCUAAUACCGCAUAUUCUGUGAGCAGGAAAGCAGGGGAUCUUCGGACCUUGCGCUUUUGGAGCGGCCGAUGUCGGAUUAGCUAGUUGGUGGGUAAAGGCCCACCAAGGCGACGAUCCGUAGCGGGUCUGAGAGGAUGAUCCGCCACACUGGAACUGAGACACGGUCCAGACUCCUACGGGAGGCAGCAGUGGGGAAUUUUGGACAAUGGGCGCAAGCCUGAUCCAGCCAUGCCGCG
This 372-nucleotide ribosomal RNA is filed under the name uncultured bacterium. Its description in RNAcentral is "bacterial SSU rRNA". It matches the Rfam family "Bacterial small subunit ribosomal RNA", at positions 30 to 401 of the family's 1533-position model. The record is from RNAcentral.